UUGAUCCUGGCUCAGAUUGAACGCUGGCGGCAUGCCUUACACAUGCAAGUCGAACGGCAGCAUGAUCUAGCUUGCUAGAUUGAUGGCGAGUGGCGAACGGGUGAGUAAUACAUCGGAACGUGCCCUGUAGUGGGGGAUAACUAGUCGAAAGAUUAGCUAAUACCGCAUACGACCUGAGGGUGAAAGUGGGGGACCGCAAGGCCUCAUGCUAUAGGAGCGGCCGAUGUCUGAUUAGCUAGUUGGUGAGGUAAAGGCUCACCAAGGCGACGAUCAGUAGCUGGUCUGAGAGGACGAUCAGCCACACUGGGACUGAGACACGGCCCAGACUCCUACGGGAGGCAGCAGUGGGGAAUUUUGGACAAUGGGGGCAACCCUGAUCCAGCAAUGCCGCGUGUGUGAAGAAGGCCUUCGGGUUGUAAAGCACUUUUGUCCGGAAAGAAAUCGCACUUACUAAUAUUAGGUGUGGAUGACGGUACCGGAAGAAUAAGGACCGGCUAACUACGUGCCAGCAGCCGCGGUAAUACGUAGGGUCCAAGCGUUAAUCGGAAUUACUGGGCGUAAAAGCGUGCGCAGGCGGUUGUGCAAGACCGAUGUGAAAUCCCCCGGCUUAACCUGGGAAUUGCAUUGGUGACUGCACGGCCAGAGUGUGUCAGAGGGGGGUAGAAUUCCAUGUGUAGCAGUGAAAUGCGUAGAGAUGUGGAGNNAUACCGAUGNNNAGGCAGCCCCCUGGNNNACANUGACGCUCAUGCACGAAAGCGUGGGAGCAAACAGGAUUAGAUACCCUGGUAGUCCACGCCCUAAACGAUGUCAAACUAGUUGUUGGGGAUUCAUUUCCUUAGUAACGUAGCUAACGCGUGAAGUUGACCGCCUGGGGAGUACGGUCGCAAGAUUAAAACUCAAAGGAAUUGACGGGGACCCGCACAAGCGGUGGAUGAUGUGGAUUAAUUCGAUGCAACGCGAAAAACCUUACCUACCCUUGACAUGCCACUAACGAAGCAGAGAUGCAUUAGGUGCUCGAAAGAGAAAGUGGACACAGGUGCUGCAUGGCUGUCGUCAGCUCGUGUCGUGAGAUGUUGGGUUAAGUCCCGCGACGAGCGCAACCCUUGUCUCUAGUUGCUACGAAAGGGCACUCUAGAGAGACUGCCGGUGACAAACCGGAGGAAGGUGGGGAUGACGUCAAGUCCUCAUGGCCCUUAUGGGUAGGGCUUCACACGUCAUACAAUGGUGCAUACAGAGGGUUGCCAAGCCGCGAGGUGGAGCUAAUCCCAGAAAAUGCAUCGUAGUCCGGAUCGUAGUCUGCAACUCGACUACGUGAAGCUGGAAUCGCUAGUAAUCGCGGAUCAGCAUGCCGCGGUGAAUACGUUCCCGGGUCUUGUACACACCGCCCGUCACACCAUGGGAGUGGGUUUUGCCAGAAGUAGUUAGCCUAACCGCAAGG
This 1438-nucleotide ribosomal RNA is filed under the name uncultured Ralstonia sp. RNAcentral describes it as "16S ribosomal RNA". It matches the Rfam family "Bacterial small subunit ribosomal RNA". The record is from RNAcentral. Lineage: Bacteria; Pseudomonadati; Pseudomonadota; Betaproteobacteria; Burkholderiales; Burkholderiaceae.